This 207-nucleotide ribosomal RNA is filed under the name uncultured bacterium. RNAcentral's name for it is "partial 16S ribosomal RNA". It matches the Rfam family "Bacterial small subunit ribosomal RNA", at positions 568 to 774 of the family's 1533-position model. The record is from RNAcentral.
CGCGUAGGUGGUUUGUUAAGCGAGAUGUGAAAGCCCCGGGCUUAACCUGGGAACGGCAUUUCGAACUGGCAGGCUAGAGUGUGGUAGAGGGUAGUGGAAUUUCCUGUGUAGCGGUGAAAUGCGUAGAUAUAGGAAGGAACACCAGUGGCGAAGGCGGCUACCUGGACCAACACUGGCACUGAGGUGCGAAAGCGUGGGGAGCAAACA